ACACACGUGUUACAAUGGGGGGUACAGAGGGCCGCUACCACGCGAGUGGAUGCCAAUCCCCAAAACCUCUCUCAGUUCGGACUGGAGUCUGCAACCCGACUCCACGAAGCUGGAUUCGCUAGUAAUCGCGCAUCAGCCACGGCGCGGUGAAUACGUUCCCGGGCCUUGUACACACCGCCCGUCAAGCCAUGGGAGCCGGGGGUACCUGAAGUGCGUAACCGCGAGGAGCGCCCUAGGGUAAAACUGGUGACUGGGGCUAAGUCGUAACAAGGUAAC
Molecule: ribosomal RNA, 276 nt
Filed under: uncultured bacterium
Lineage: Bacteria
Description: partial 16S ribosomal RNA
Rfam family: Bacterial small subunit ribosomal RNA
Source: RNAcentral